Molecule: ribosomal RNA, 494 nt
Filed under: uncultured bacterium
Lineage: Bacteria
Description: bacterial SSU rRNA
Rfam family: Bacterial small subunit ribosomal RNA
Source: RNAcentral
GACGAACGCUGGCGGCGUGCCUAAUACAUGCAAGUUGAACGCUUGAUUUUCACCGAAGCUUGCUUCACCGAAAAUCAAGAGUAGCGAACGGGUGAGUAACGCGUGGGUAACCUACCUAUCAGCGGGGGAUAACUAUUGGAAACGAUAGCUAAUACCGCAUAACAAUGUUGGAUGCAUAUUCGACAUUUGAAAGUACCAACUGGUACACUGAGAGAUGGACCCGCGUUGUAUUAGCUAGUUGGUAGUGUAAUGGACUACCAAGGCGAUGAUACAUAGCCGACCUGAGAGGGUGAUCGGCCACAUUGGGACUGAGACACGGCCCAAACUCCUACGGGAGGCAGCAGUAGGGAAUCUUCGGCAAAUGGGACGAAAGUCUGACCGAGCAACGCCGCGUGAGUGAAGAAGGUUUCGGAUCGUAAAACUCUGUUGUUAGAGAAGAACGUUGCAUAGAGUGGAAAUUAUGCAAGUGACGGUAUCUAACCAGAAAGGGACGG